RNAcentral lists this ribosomal RNA (443 nucleotides) under uncultured bacterium. RNAcentral's name for it is "partial 16S ribosomal RNA". It matches the Rfam family "Bacterial small subunit ribosomal RNA", at positions 338 to 795 of the family's 1533-position model. The record is from RNAcentral.
CCUACGGGAGGCAGCAGUGGGGAAUAUUGGGCAAUGGGCGCAAGCCUGACCCAGCAACGCCGCGUGAAGGAAGAAGGCUUUCGGGUUGUAAACUUCUUUUCUGAGGGACGAAGAAAGUGACGGUACCUCAGGAAUAAGCCACGGCUAACUACGUGCCAGCAGCCGCGGUAAUACGUAGGUGGCAAGCGUUAUCCGGAUUGAUUGGGUGUAAAGGGCGUGUAGGCGGGAAAGCAAGUCAGAUGUGAAAACUCAGGGCUCAACCCUGAGCCUGCAUUUGAAACUGUUUUUCUUGGGUGCUGGGGAGGCAAGCGGAAGUCGGGGUGUAGCGGUGAAAUGCGUAGAUAUACGGAGGAACGCCAGUGGCGAGGGCGGAUUGCUGGACAGUAACUGACGCUGAGGCGCGAAAGCGUGGGGAGCAAACAGGAUUAGAUACCCUUGUAGUC